AGAAUCAACGCUGGCGGCGUGCCUAACACAUGCAAGUCGCACGAGAAAGGGUAGCAAUACCUGAGUACAGUGGCGCACGGGUGAGUAACACGUGAAUAAUCUACCUCCGAGUGGGGAAUAACUGAGAGAAAUCUUAGCUAAUACCGCAUAAUACCCACGGGUCAAAGCAGCAAUGUGCUUGGAGAGGAGUUCGCGGCAGAUUAGUUAGUUGGUGGGGUAAUGGCCCACCAAGGCGACGACGGGUAGCCGGCCUGAGAGGGCGACCGGCCACACUGGGACUGAGACACGGCCCAGACUCCUACGGGAGGCAGCAGUGGGGAAUAUUGCACAAUGGGCGAAAGCCUGAUGCAGCGACGCCGCGUGAGGGAUGACGGCCUUCGGGUUGUAACCUCUUUCAGCAGGGACGAAGCGAAGUGACGGUACCUGCAGAAGAAGCACCGGCCAACUACGCGCCAGCAGCCGCGGU
Molecule: ribosomal RNA, 466 nt
Filed under: uncultured bacterium
Lineage: Bacteria
Description: SSU rRNA
Rfam family: Bacterial small subunit ribosomal RNA
Source: RNAcentral